Long non-coding RNA from Mytilus californianus (California mussel), 1863 nucleotides. RefSeq lists it as uncharacterized. The transcript is spliced from 2 exons. NCBI's taxonomy places the organism in Eukaryota, Metazoa, Mollusca, Bivalvia, Mytilida, Mytilidae. The record is from RefSeq and is a predicted model, not a curated record.
CACGUUCAGAUCGAACCUCUCUUUAGUUACAGAGAAAUAUUGAUGUCUCUCCGACUACGAUAAAGUAAAAUUGUCCCCACGGACUAGCAAACGUUGUAACAUGAUAAAGAUACCGUUUAACUUAAUACGUGAUCAAUGACGGGCAUUUAAGUUUGACACCUGGAUUUUACCUACUGCAUAGGUAUAAAAAUAGAUAAUGAUUUCAUGUAUUGCACAAGUUAUAUACCGGGAAAUACCCGUAACGUAAACAAUGAAAAACAAAAUAUAAAAUCAAAUCUGCGUUUUACUAUUUAAUAUAAUUUCGAUGAAACGAAUGAGUAGUUUUACAGCUGUUUACGACAAUGGUGGAUAAUACAAAUAUAAUCUUUACUGCAACAACCCUCAGACAGAUUGGAGAUUCUUUGUAUCACAUACAAGAGGAAGAGAUUUAUGAAUAUAAUCAGGAAAUCGUGGACGCGAUCAGAAACAUCCAGAAUUUGAUAUUGACAUGUUCUUAUUUUAUUGGAGCAGUCUUAUUAAUGUAGGAUGCAGAUAAAUCAGUAUACAAAAGAAGACAGACGAAAUUAAUUCAAAUAAUUCAGUCGGUUUGUAAAAUCAAUGAGUUAUCUUAUGUAGAGAAGUUCGCGUUGGUUUAAAUAAAACCAGAUGACAUUUACCCAUUUCUGUCUACUGCGAAUUAGACAAUAAAGCCAGAAAUAUGAACUUUUCUGGAAGGUAGUACAGAUUUGGACAAGUACGUUCUUUAUACUACGUUUGGAACAGCAAGAUGACAUGCCAACAGUAUCUAGAUUGUAACAGGGAAUCUAUUUCAUAAGUGCGUUGGUAUAUUUUAGUCUCAGCCCUGAUUAUUUUAUGGAGAGUAAUAUGACGAAAGUGGUCUAAAAAUAUUUUGUCAGAAAAUCAGCAUCUGUAAACAAUGUUGCGUUAUUAAUUUAUGGUGGGCAUGUAUUUAUUUGUUAUUCUUUUAGUUUUAUAGAUAUACUGUUACAUCUUAAACUGUACUCUUUGAAAAAUGUAAAAACAAAUGUCUAUAAAAAUACUCAUGCCAUUUGAUGUAUGUAUAUAUAAAUAUGCAUAUUUUUCAUGCGGAACCAUUCACAUUAUUGAAAUAUUUGUUAUAAUAUGCAGAAACGUAGUAUUUACGUCAUACAUGUUUCAUCUUUGCACAAUUCAGCAGUGAAAAGUAAACCUAAUCUUGGACAAGAAAUGUAAAACUUUAGAACGAUAUUUGAUUUAAAUUAAAGGCUCACAGGAUAAAUAUAUUCAUUGUUAAAUGGAUAUUAUAAUUUGUUUUGCAUUAACGUUGAUUCGUUUUAGCGGAAUUAAAUGAAAGAAAUUUGGCUUUAAAACUGUGACAAGACUAAAUGUUGGAAUUGAUUAUAUAUUAGAUGUUAAGUAUCUGAAACAAAAAAAAAACAUUCUUUUUAAGAUUCGUGAUGGGCGCCUAUUUUAGAAGCAAAAAAAAUUUAUUAUAAACAUCGACAUGGUUUGUUAUAGCAUCUGUUUCGAAAACGAAGAAAAUGCAAUAAACUCCAAGCUUAAUAAAAUGAUAGAAUGCCCUCUACAAUUGUUAACAUUUAGAUGCAUAAAAUCGCAUGUAUAUAUAUGCAUUAUUCGCUGAAACAUAUUGAGUAUUUCUUAUUAUUUUGUUAUUUUGUUAUUCAUAUUCGUUCAUAAUUUUUUUUAUUUUUUCGUUGAGGGCCUUUGAUUAGAUUAUUACUGCUAAAUGGAAGUGUUCUCGUUUUGAUUUCCAGUCAAAUCGAAUGCUUAAACACAUGAAUAAGUGACAAAUGUGAUUCAAAUAUUGUAACUAGUCAGUUUAUUGUUAUACAUUUUAUAAAUAAAAUUUUAUGUUACAAUCAA